Molecule: long non-coding RNA, 8676 nt
Organism: Peromyscus californicus insignis
Lineage: Eukaryota; Metazoa; Chordata; Mammalia; Rodentia; Cricetidae
Exons: 2
Source: RefSeq, a predicted model, not a curated record
UAACUAGUACUCUAACCAGCCAUAAUCCGUGAAGACCCUAUGAUCAUGCAGCUUAAAUACUUCUUUAUAUAAUAUAUUUAAAAACAAAACCAACAACAAAAUAAAAACCUGUCAGGAGUGGUGGUGCAUACCUGUGAUCCCUGCACUCAGGAGUUUGAGGCCCGCUGGGCCACACAAUGAGUUCCAGGCCAGUCUGAGCUAAACUCCAUUUCAGUUUAAAAAAAAAAGAAGAAGAAAGAAAGAAGACAUUACUUCACAUAACCACAGUAUGAUUAUCAAAGUCAGUAAAUGAACUUUUUUUGACACAUUUCUUAACCUAUAGGCUCUCAGAUUCUCCAGCUCUGCUCAAAUGUGUUCUUGGUAGCAAAGAAAAUCCCAGGUUGGCUAGGUCAGAAUGUGGGUUACUUCGGUUGUGCUGUCUUUUUACUAACACUGGCAUCUCAGGAGAGCACAGGUCAGGUGUUUUGUACUUGUCAGUGUGACGUGUCUCAUGGCUCCAUCCAGACUGUCUGCAUUUUGUCAGCUUCACCAGCUCUCUUUGAAGUAUUAAGGUAAUGGUAACCUUGCUGUGAUUGAUCAGAAGCAGUAGAGAUCCAUUUCCCCAAUCAUGGCCUCUUGCCUCACUGUAGUAAUAUCAUAGCACAGGUCCACUGCUAUUGCUGAGUCCACUGAUGUCUUCAGAGCUGUCCUGUGUAAUUUGUGCUCAUUUAUGUGCAUGUGUGCUUCUGGUCAACUCCAUCACAUGCAGAGUCAUGAGCUCACCACAGUCAAGCUGUACAGAAAAGGUCAUCUGUUGUCUCAUAGCCAGAGACUCCCUCUUCCCCUAGCCCUUCACCACCACUAACCUGUUCCCCAUCUCUGGUGUUGUCAUUUCAAGAAUGUUGUAUAGCCAGGUGGUGGUGGUGGUGAGUGCACUGGGAGGCAGAUCUCUGUGAGUUCAAGGCCAGCCCUCGUCUACAGAGAACUAGUUCCAGGACAGCCAGAGCUAUCAGAGCUAUGCAGAGAAAACUGUCUUGAAAAACAAAACAAAAAGGAGUGUCAUAUGCACUUUACCUGGAGAGCUAGGUGUCUUCAUCUUCAUUCAGCAUGGUUCUCUUGAAGUCCUAAGUCUUUACGAGCUGCGUACAUCAGUAACUUUUUUUAUUGGUGAGUAGUAUUCCAUAGUGUGAAUGUACUCUAAUUUACUUAGCCACUCACUCAUUGAAGGAUAGCUGAAUUAUUUUCAAUUUGAGGAUGUAAGAAAACAGCUAUGAAUACUUGUGUACAAGUUUUUGUCUGACCAUGAGUUUUUAUUUCCUGGAAUAAAAAUACAACUUCUGAACACAAUGUAAGUAAAUGUUUAGUUUUUUAGGUUUUUUUUUUCUUGUUUGUUUUUCAAGACAGGGUUUCUCUGUGUAACCCUGGCUGUCCUGGAACUUGCUCUGUAGACCAGGCUGGUCUCAAACUCACAGAGCUCCGCCUGCCUCUGCCUCCUAAGAGCUGGGAUUAAAGGUGUGUGCCACUACCACCUGGUGGCUAGUUUAGUAUUUAAAAAAAAAAAAAAAAAAAGACGUCCUUUUCCAAAGUGGCUUCAUCAUUUUACAUUCUGCUGGCAGUGUGUGGCUGAUCCAGUUCCUCCAUGUCUUGACAGCAUUUGGUAUACAUUUCUCUUUUUGUUACUGUAAUGUCCAUUUCUCCAGUGGUCAUAAUUGAACAUCUUGCAUACGUGCAUGUGUGAUUGUUCUGUGUAAGUACAUAUGCAUAUAUGUGGAAGGCAGAGGUCAGAAUUGAGUGUGCUGGGGUUACAGACGGGUCCCACUGCACCCAGGUUUGUGGCUGCUGAGAUGCAGAUGCAGGGCCUCAUGGUUGUGUGGCAGACACUGUGCUGACAGCUAUCUCCCCACCCGGGUCACCCUUUCCAGUGUUUCAGGGAAAUGUCCACUUGAGUCUGUUGCCAUUUUCUUCCUGGGUUGUUUGUCUUUUACUGUUAAGGAUUUUUUAAGAGAUUUUAUUUAUUUAUAAUUUAUAUGUUUGCCUGGAUGUAUGUUUGUGUACCACGUGCAUAUACUGCUCAAGGAGGCCAGGGAGGGUGUCAGAUUCUCUGGAGCUGGAGUUACAGGCAGUUGUGAGCCAUCAUAUGGGAAACAGGAAUCAAACUCAGGUUUUCUGGAAGAGCAGCCAGUGCUCUUACCACUGAGCCAGCUUUCUGGCUCCCUGCUAUUGAGUUUUUAGACUCUGUGUAUUGUAGAGAUAGUAGUGCUUUGCAGGUGCUUUCUUCCUGCUCUAUACUUCGUCUAGUCAACCACUUUAACAGUCUUGAAAGACAAAGUGUUGGGGGGUUUUCUAAUUUUGAUAAAGUUUAAUUUGUGAAUUUUCCCUUGAAAUUGUACUUUGGGUAUCAAUUGUAAAAAGCUCUUUGUCUCACAAAGAUUUUCUCCUUGCUUCUGAAUGUUUAAAGUAUUUAUUACAUUUUAGAGUCAAGUCUACAGUUCAUUGGUCUGAAGCUGCUUCUCUUCUGAUGCAAGUAUUUUGUGCUAUAAACUUCUCUCUGCACUUCUGAAGAAAUGCUAAGGCUCUGCCUCACAAAUUUUGACAUGGGCUUUCAUCAGUUCCUCAUUCUCCUCCCUCAGGCCCCCCAGUGCUGGGAAGGUAGCCGUGCACCAGCGCUCAGCCUCGUGUGUUUUUUCAUUUGACACUUCUUCUUUAACCUGUGUGUUAAGAAGUGCUUCAUUCCCCUUGUUUACAGAGUCUGCUGUGAAGGAGUGCUAAUGAUGCCUGUUUGCUUGCAUUAUGAUCAGAGAAAGACUUUCAGUUCUUUUCUAAUUCUUAGACUUGCUUGUGACCCAUGUAUGGUUAAUCAUGGUGCUUAAUGUAUGCAGAAGAGCAUGUGUGCUCUGCCGUUGGGGCACAUCCUGGAGAAGUCAGCUCAGUGCACUCCGCUUGCUCCUGUGAGCAGGUAGGGUUGGGAGAUCACCUUCCCACUGAGGGCACCUAGUGCCAGAUUCGGGGGAAGAGUAAAAUUUUCUCUUUGGCAUUUGGCUAAAAUAGAGCAGACAGUGUUCUGAAGGUUUUCUGACAUGAGUUCCCUCUUUUCCAGGUGUUUUGAUUAGGACAAUCAGGCUUCUCUUUGGCUGAUCCUGCAGGCAGUUCUGGGCUGAAGACUUCUGUAGCACAUUGUUGGGAAUCGGUGGGGCAGGGCAGUAAGGGAGCCCAGAGAGCUCAGCACCCAGUGUCCCCAUUCAAGGCCAAGGCCCUAGACAGCCCUUCCUCUUUCCCUGGAAUGACAGUAUGCGCUAGCUUUAAAAAAGAAAAAAAAAAAAAAGAUUGAAGAUUUGGGUUUAUUAUUAUUAAAUACCAUAUGAAUAAUUAAUAAAUAUUAUUAAAUGCCAUAUGGAACACCAAAAGUAGAAUAAUCAGGAGUUCUUCUGAAAACAUUUUAAUCAGAAAACCAAUGAUAAUAUCAGAGCUGAAUGGGGCACAUCCAAAGGCCUUUGAAACACUCACAGUUGUCCUGGGAGCCUGGUAUUUGAUGAUCUCGCAUUAAUUAGCACCCUCCGUGGGGCCUGUAUGUGACGAAGGAGUAAAAACCUCACCAUCUGCCACAGGCCACAAAGGAUGCUUGUUUCCUAGCGUUUGUUGCAGCUCCUUUCAAAGCAUCCCUCUCCAGACAAUACUUUAGUCGAAAGUGAUGUUCUGACCUUUUUUCCUCCUUCCGUUUUCCCUAAGGUUGAGAAAUGCUUGAUGAAAUUUUUAUGUGGCUUAAAAAGCUUAGCUCAUUAAAGUUUAAUGUGAAGGUGGCACCAGCUGAACUGGUUGGAACCUUAGGCUGUUUUAAAAAGAAGCCUGAACUAUUAGCAAGAAAAAAGCUGAACUGAAGGGAAAACUGAGAUUUCCUCACAGAAUUCUGUCUUGAUGCUAUUCUUUCUACAAAACAUGCUACUCAGGAGAGCCACACAUUCUGAGUAACUUGGCCACCAUGGAGCAGUAGUUACACUGCAGAUCAUUGUACAUGUAGUAUGACAACCACUGCUGAGCCUGUAGUGUGUCUUCCUGAAAAACUAUUGUGUGGAUACCAAGAUGAUAUGUAAAUUUAGACCUGCUUCUUGUGUGUAUGUGUACCCACACACACUCAUACACACACACACACACACACACACACACACACACACACACACACACACUACCACAAGAAUGUGGAGGUCAGAGGACAACUCUCAGGAACUGGUUCUCUCCUCUACCUUGGGUUCUAGGGAUUGAACUCCUGUCAUCAGGCUUGUACAGCAAAGACCUUUCACCAUGAACUCACAAGCCUAGCUUAGACCUUUGAAUCAUUCAGUGACAGUUAUUUUAUACCAGAAGUAGAUGUCUGGUACUUUUAUAUUGAAAGGGUUCAUGAAGAUUUUUUGAGAGAUGUCAAUUUUUAAAAACAAUCCAAUGAUUAAUAUUGUGCCUUUGUAUUAGACCUUUAGUCACCGUGACAGAGUAACUGACACACACAAGGGAGGAAAAAGAGUCUGCGUUCCCAGUGUCAAGUGUAAGUCCAUCAUCACAGGGGCCAUUGCCUGUAGGCCUGUGACAAAGAAGCAGGAGGGGGCUGGAGAGAUGGCUCAGAGGUUAAGAGCACCGACUGCUCUUCCAGAGGUCCUGAGUUCAAUUCCCAGUACCCACAUGGUGGCUCACAACCAUCUGUAAUGAGAUCUGGCACCCUCUUCUGUAUACAUAAUAAAUAAAAUAAAUCUUUAAAAAAAAAAAAAAAAGAAGAAGAAGAAGAAGCAGGAGGAAGGACAUGGCUCACAUCGUGACAACCAGCAAGCAAAGAGGAGAGACAGGACACCGACAAGGCACCCUUCAGCAAAGAGCCUGCCUGGCGUGUCACACUGAGUUGGUGCAAAUAGAGAGUGAGCUUCCGCUCUUCUGAGAAGGCAGACAGGUGUCACCCAAGCGCUGUGUGUAGAGUUCCUGUUUGGAGGCAGUGAUGUUGCUCUUGGUGAGUCAGACACUUCACAGAGGACGUAGUGAUGUUUGAGCGGAAUUUCAUUUCAGAGAAUGGGAAAGACUUCAUCAGACAGGCUGAAGGGAAAUUUCAGGAGUGGAUCAUUUUCCACAAAGAAAAGGAGAGUUGAGUAGCGGAACAUUGAGAAGGUAGGAAAGAAAAACGGGGCCUGUGAGCCAGUGUUAGAUGGGAAAAUUGACUACAGUGGAGUUGAAUCACAGGCUGAGGAGUUUGGGGUUUUAUUCUCUAAGAAGUAAGGGAUCAACCAAGGUUUUCUAAAGGUACAAUAAUGCUAAAUAUUUUCCCAGCCAAGGAUGGUAGAAACUGUAUUCUGGAGACAGAAGCAGGAAGAUCAGGAGUUCAAGGCCAGCCUGAUCUACAUGAGCCCCUCUUUAAAUAAAAAGAAAAAAAAGGAAACUUUCUCAUGACAGGAGAGACUUAAAGGAGAAAACGAAGAGCGAAGGCAGAAGAUUAGUAAAGCAGAUGUGUAGAGGUCAGGGAACAAUUAGGGCAAGGGAAACAGUUCCUGAAAAAAACAGACGCUGGAGACAAAAAGAAAAAAGUGGUAGUGAUGAAAAAGUAAAUGAAAGAUGCAGACAGGAUGGUCUGAAUCCAGAGGAAAUGAGAUUCAUCGCCCCUGGAUUUCACCAGUGUUUCAAAGAGAAGGCCCUACUGUGUGCUGAUAGAGACCUAGUUCUGUAUCUGUGGGAAAGCUCUGAUGACUGGAAGCCCUGAUACCUCAUCAGAGUGACCUGUCCUCAAAACAGUGAUCCUGGAUGAAUUCUUGUCCGAUUAAUGUUGUGUGAGUUGUUUUAGGCUGGUCAUUGGGUAGCACUUGCCACCAAACCUGGCAGCCUGAGUUCAAUCCCCUCAACCCCCAUGGUAGAGCAGAGGACUGAUUUCCAUAUGUGUGCCAUGAUGAAUGAGCACAUGCACGUGUAUACACACACAUACUCACACAAUAAAUAAAUAAAUAAAUAAGUUAAGCAGUAUGAAUGGUUUGAAGUUGUCCUACCAAUUUAAACCAUUUUUGAUACUUUGCAUUCAAGUACAGAAGUGGCUCAGCAGUUAGAGUUUUUGCUGUGUAAGCAAGAGGACUGGAGCUUGCAUCCCAGCACCCACACGAAAGCCAGGUGUGAGCUCCUGUACCCUGGUAACCCAAACAUGGAUCAGAGACAGGCAGAUCCCAAAUGCACAGUGGCCAGCAAGCCUAGCUUGGUGGGGCCCAGGUUCAGUAAGAGGCCUUGUCUCAAGGUGGACAGCAAGAGGAAAGAUGCCCAAUGUCAUCCUCUGACCUCCACACAUACAUACAUAGACAAGCACAUCUGUACAUACGUAUAUGCCACACACAAAUUACAUAAAUGAUAAGUAAGUAAAAUGAAUAGAGAGCACCUUAAAAUGAACUGUAUAUAAUCUUGAAAAUGUUAAAUACUCAACCUCCUUCAUAGGUUAGAUAUAUGAUAAGACCAUAUUGAAAUAGCAUUUCUUAUUGUUCCAUUUGCCAAAGAAAUCUAAAAUUUGAUGACAUGCUUUCUUGGCAAGGUUGUAAAGAAAACAGAUACUCUUGUAGGUUGAUAAUAGUUCUUAGGAGGCAAUUUAUGAUACCUAGCACAAUUAUAUGAGCGAUUAUCCUUUGUCUUAGCCUCACAUCAGACUAGUAGUCUAGCCUGAUGAUAAAUUUACAGAUGAUAAAAAUAGUAGCAGUACCAGGUGUUGGUAGCUCACCCCUUUAAUCCCAGCACUUGGGAGGCAAAGGCUGGUGGAUCUCAUGAGUUCGAGGCUAGCCUGGUCUAUGGAGCAAGUUCCAGGAUAGGACUACACAGAGAAACCCUGUCUUGAAGAACAAACAAACAAUAACAACAACAGAUGCUAGCUGUGCUAGUCUGUUCAUUUUAGUGUUGUUUACGAGAGCAAGACUUGAAAUAACCAAAUGUCCACCAGUAGAUAUCUGGUUGCUAAGGUAGUGCUCUACACAGCCAGCACUAAGUGCUUGGAGUCAUCUAUAGCUAUAAAUGUGAAGAGAGUGCUGACAGUCUCUGUGUGCUUCUGUCAAGCUGUCUCUAGGGUGUAUUAUUCAGGGAAAAGCAAGAUAUGCACUUGUAAGUAGAGGAAGGCUAUGAAAUUACAUUCAUAUAUAUGGCUAUAUAAAGCAUAUGUAUCUAUCUACAUGUAUGUAUACUUAACACAUAUAUGUUUAUUUUCAAAUUGAAACAAUGUAAGGAUAAAACAGCAAUUAUUAUUUGGGGAGGAAAGGAAAUGGGAUGAAAGAAACUGGAAGUUAAACUUCCUGUACUUCAUGUCAUGAUUUUGAGUUUAGAAUCACAUGUUUCACAUGUUUUAAUUGCUAGAAUAAAUGGGAGGUUGUGUGAUGGCAUAUAUUUGUAGUCCAGCUACUCAGGAGGCUGAGGCAGGAGGAUUGCUUUGUGUCCAGAGGUUGAGGCCAAGUCAGCCUGGAAAACACAAAUGAAUAAGUAAGAAUUUUUAAAAAGGUAAACAAAUGACUAUUUGAGACGGUGGCCCAAGUGCAGCGACAAGACACUGUCAGAGAAUCUGUGUUAAUAUAGUGUUUUUAUUCAGAUCCCAGUCACCUGCUCAUUCCUCCUGGAUCCACCCACCAACUUCCAGCUUCCUGUCCUCUUUAAAGAACUCUGUAUCCAGUUUGUGCUAGAUGUGGAGCGAUCCACCAGAGCAUGCUUGACCUACCAGGGACCACAUCCUUAUGAAAACUGUCUCUCCCUCCCCCAGAAGCCAUCAGCUUGUCAGUACCUCCUCAGCUAGGAAUGGGGGCUCGUGAACCCUUUCCCUCCCCAUGCUUGUAGGUGGAUUUUUCGUUGAGACCGUUGACGCUCCAAUAAUGACAUGGAGAUUUACUAUUAAUUAUGAAAGCCUGGCUGAUAGCUUAGGUUUAUUUCUAACUAGUUCUUAUAACUUAAAUUAAUCCAUUUCUAUUAAUUUACUUCCUGCCUGUAGCUUUAUUACCUCAUCUCUGUAUUGUCCGUCCUGUUGGCUCAGUGUCUCCUGGUGUCUCCGUCUUUCUUCCUAGCAUCCACUAUGCCUGGAAAUCCUGUCUAGCUAUUGGCCAUUCAGCUUUUUAUUAAACUAAUCAGAGUAACACAUCUUCACAGUGUACAAAAAGAUGAUCCCACAACACGUGCUCGAAUAUUGACUGGCUUGAUCUUGUACCAACAACCAGAGCUCCUGUGAACUCACGAGUGUUAGUCCUGUCGUGUCAAAGAAACACUGUUUCACUUCAAGGAACUUUUUUACAGAUUGAUUGAUUUUUAUUUUAUGUAUGGCAGUGUUUGUAUAUAUGCCUGUAUGGCACCACAUGUGUGCUUAGUGCCCUCAGAAGUCUGAAGAAGGCAAGGGCAUUGGAUACCCUGGAACCAGGGUUAUUGAUGACUAUGAACUUGUAUGUCAGUGCUGGGAACUAAACAGGUCUUCUGUGAGAGCAACAAGGACUCUUAACUGCUGAGCCAUCUCCAGCUCCAAAGGAACUUUUUGUAGUAGUACAUUUCUUUUGGAGUAUAACAAAAGUAAAAUUGAUAAUUCUAGAUUAUAUCAAAAGCAAGGAUACAGCCAACAGAUUAGAAAGGCAUCCAUGAAAUGUAAUGGAAUUGUAACUUGUAGAUUUUAUAAAGGAUUAAAACACAGACUAUAUAAAGAUCUCCUCCUACAUUUCAUUAACAAAAAAAAAAGAUUUA